RNAcentral lists this ribosomal RNA (492 nucleotides) under uncultured bacterium. RNAcentral describes it as "partial 16S ribosomal RNA". It matches the Rfam family "Bacterial small subunit ribosomal RNA", at positions 29 to 507 of the family's 1533-position model. The record is from RNAcentral.
AGUGAACGCUGGCGGUAGGCCUAACACAUGCAAGUCGAACGGCAGCACAGUAAGAGCUUGCUCUUACGGGUGGCGAGUGGCGGACGGGUGAGGAAUACAUCGGAAUCUACUUUUUCGUGGGGGAUAACGUAGGGAAACUUACGCUAAUACCGCAUACGACCUACGGGUGAAAGCAGGGGAUCUUCGGACCUUGCGCGAUUGAAUGAGCCGAUGUCGGAUUAGCUAGUUGGCGGGGUAAAGGCCCACCAAGGCGACGAUCCGUAGCUGGUCUGGGAGGAUGAUCAGCCACACUGGAACUUAGACACGGUCCAGACUCCUACGGGAGGCAGCAGUGGGGAAUAUUGGACAAUGGGCGCAAGCCUGAUCCAGCCAUACCGCGUGGGUGAAGAAGGCCUUCGGGUUGUAAAGCCCUUUUGUUGGGAAAGAAAAGCAGCAGGUUAAUACCCCGCUGUUCUGACGGUACCCAAAGAAUAAGCACCGGCUAACUUCGUG